This is a long non-coding RNA of Mastomys coucha (southern multimammate mouse), 252 nucleotides long. RefSeq lists it as uncharacterized. The record is from RefSeq and is a predicted model, not a curated record. NCBI's taxonomy places the organism in Eukaryota, Metazoa, Chordata, Mammalia, Rodentia, Muridae. The transcript is spliced from 2 exons.
GUGGAGAUUGAACUCUUGAAGUGUUGCUGCUAGUAUGAAGAGCUGAAAUUUAAUCCCAUCAAUUACAUAAGUAUGGAUUGCAGAGGUCUUCACUGCUUGGAAGAGUUUGGCCUCUCUAAGAUGGAGUCACGGCAGCAGUGAGCAAGAUAUGGGAAGCUGACAUUAUCCUCAGUUACUGGACAUAGCUCUGGGGCCCCUGGCUUCCUGAUGAGUGAGAUCUUUCUUCCCCAUUAAAAGCUAGACUGGUUUCUG